Non-coding RNA from Pelobates cultripes (western spadefoot toad), 13836 nucleotides. The record is from the annotation of a GenBank genome assembly. Lineage: Eukaryota; Metazoa; Chordata; Amphibia; Anura; Pelobatidae.
GGGGAGGAAUAGAGGCGGAGAAAUUAACGACAAAGCUCCCUUUCCGAUAAAGAUUCUGCUGCUAGAACACCGGGGAUUGUGUGAAGACAUUGCUAAUCCCAUGCUGGCAUUAUUGGUGCUCUGGUUAUAGAGGGGCCCACGUGCUGCUCUGACCUGAACCCCAUCCAGCUACCCACCGCCCCAGACUACCCUCACACGGCCGGCAUCAGGGGCAGAGCAGAGGACCGCCAUGGAUGAAGAUCGUGCAGGGGAGCAAAUGAGACCUCUGCUUACCACGGUAUGUAAAUGUGGGGGGUAGUUAGCAUGGCACCCCUCACACAUACUAGUAGUAGAAGGAGGGUGGUGGGGGCUAGUGGGUGAAAUAGGAGUCUGUCUCGCUGUGUAAUGACGCCAGGAGUGCAGGCUGAUGCCUACUAUAUGAGCAGACAAAAGAUGUGGCUCAUUGUCUGUUAGCCAGCUACUCAACACCAUCACCCCUUCCACUCUUACCCACCAUAUUUAAAAGACUUGGCGGAGGUGAAGGAUGGUAAAGUAUGGCCAAGAAGUUCACUCAUUAUUAUCAUCCCAGAUGUUAUACCCUCCUCCACUAUUUAACCCCUUGAGUGCCAGGUGACUGCACAAUAUCUUGGGCACAUCUCUAGCACCCUCAAAGGGUUAAUAUAUGUGUGGGCACUAACGAUUGCUUGCUUGUGGCUCAGAGUUGUGGUGCUACUACCCCUUGUUACCAUUUGUGGCUGAAGGUUUAUAGUCCUGUUGCAUGAUAUGUGUGCCACGUGAAUCGGGGACAACUUGACCCAGAGUAAUCUUGCAGUUUGAGGUGGGAUUAACCAAAUUCGUUGUUGAAUUGUUGAAUGGUAGCCUGACAUCUGGGGCUGAAACUUCCAUUGAGUCUCUGACCCAUUUGUUCUCGAAAUUCUGUGAAUAUUCCCUGAUGAUGUUACAGGUGUCUAUACUGCCAUGCCGCCCCCCCAGCCCAUGACCAGUGAUCCUCAGGGGGGCAUCCCUUAAAUUCCUACUCUAGUGUCUGAAAGAGGAUCCCUUGCUUGCAGUGCUGGAGGGAGUCUGUCCAGCACAUGUGAUGGGGGUUUCCUCCUAGCUGCUAGUGCACUUGGUGGCUUUUCAUCCUACGUGAACAGCUUUUUGGUGGAAAUGACUCACACGGAAGUUGCAUCCCCUGUCUGUGUCCCUCCCCUGCAAGUAUGACAGAAUGAAAGCGGGGGGAGGAAAGUGUCAAUGUCCUAAUCUCAUAGUUAGGAGAAUUUCACAUCAACUUCCCUGUCCUUACUCUUUUAUUCUCUCACAUACCUAGCCAUUGAGUGUCUGAGCCAUUCAUGUUGUCAUCAAACAGCAUUUUCUGCAUGCACAUACAUGAUAACUCCUUUCUCUAAUUUUUACAUUUUACAAGUUCAGUAAGAAGUGAUUGUGGCACUCCUCUUUCCUCUUACUAUUGAAUGUUUUGGAAAGAGAAGAAUAGUUGAAUUUUCUUCUUAGUAUAUAUUUCUUUAUCUACAUAAGACAAACUUAUUUUGUUUUGCCUAUUCCAAAGUCUCAUUUUUGAUGUUUCUUCUUCUUCUUAUUAUUUUUAAAUAUAAAAUUAACUGCAUUUAUAUAAAUAUAAUAAAUGUUCCAUUUUCUUGUUUUGGCUAACAGUUUUUGCUGAUGUGUUCAUUUGGUAACUUUUUAUGUUUUUGUUAUAAAUGGAAAAUGCGCAAACUAAUUAGCAACAUUUAAUGAGAGAUAGAAAAGGGAUUUUGGUAUCCAUGUCAAGUGUGUUGACAUAAAUAAAUCAAUAUAAAAUGGGGUUUGACUGUAUGUCUGUUGUUAUAUAUCUUGCAAGUUAAAUGUUUAUUUUCAUUUAUAAUUUUUGAUUUCAAGAGGAUUAUUACAUUUUUUAUAUUUUCGUUACAUCCUUGUAGUGUUCUUUUUGAUAAUGCCUAAAAAAGUUGCAGAUUAGUUAGUAAACUGAUGCUUGAUACUCUGUUAAAUAAUUACAAUUUAAAAUGCUGGUCAUUUGAGUUGUGUAAUAACUUCUAAACCCUAGACAAGCAGACACUGUUUCUUGUGGAGUCUUCACAUUUCUUGUAAGUGACUCUGAAGGGAACGCACAUGGUAGUGCCCAAGGGAAUGGGAUAUAUGUUUACCUAAAGCUCUUCUUCCUCUGUUUUGCCAUCUUACAUCCGCAAGCGUCUUCAAGAGAACAAAAUAGAUAGGAUACAUAUUUAGCUGCAUCCUACAUAUAUAUUCUUGAUUAAUAAAUGCCUCAAACUGAUGCCUGUUCUCCAUCACCCUUGGUACAAUGCAGAGAAAAUCUUCCUGAAAAACACAACUUGCCCCUAGAGGCUGCAGGACACCUAGAUAUAGUAAUAGAAUAAUCCCCCAUUAAGCCUAACUUUUAAGAAUCCUACUUUUUAUGCAAUGUUGCUCUCAUUUGGCUAUGUCUUUGGCUAUGAGACCAAAGACACCGGCAGUCAACUGUUUUUUACUGGUGCCUAUUUUUUCCCCAAGUUUUGUAACUCGAGCAUGCCCUGUGCUAAGUGUACAAUGUUCUGCGAACGCCUGAGCCACUCUGUUCAGCUUCCUCUGUUAUUUCUGUAUUAGAUUUAAAGGCACAGUGACGCCAAACAAUAGUGUGUGAAAUUAAUUAAACACCAUGCUCUAAUACUGCAAAGCAAGCUAACACUGUCAGCUGUGUAAGUGUUACUCCAUGUACGACCCCACCUGUUUCUGAACAUGUCUACUGUCCAUACUGAUAUAUACUGGUGGUGAUUCAGCCCAUUGUUGAGCAUGGCUCCAUUCUGCUCCUACCCCUUUAAUGAGUGAUACUGUUGAUGACCUGGAUUGUUCCCUGAUUGUGUCUUCAGUCUGUCCUCAUCCAGUUCUCAAAUAAGACCUGAUACUAUGUGGGUAGUUACUGGCCAGGCAUCUACCUGUAUCCUGGUCUGCACCUUUACACAAGUUUUUCUUUAUCACUUUAUUUCCCAUUGCGGUUCUAGCCUAUGUAGUUGCCUUUCCCCAGUCGGGCUCUACCCUAUGCAGCAGGUGUGCUGAUCAUUAACUAAGUCUUAGUGGCCGCGGAAGUCAAAGUAUGCAAACCAUCAAUUAAUUACCACUUCACCUGAUGUGAGCAAACCUUGUAUAAGUAAAUUUGUGCUAAUAUGUGGAUUUUUCUUCUAAUAGAAAAAUAAAUAACAAAACAAAAACCAAAUCACUCAUAUAACCUUCACUUAGUUUGAUAUUUAAUCUUUAAAUGAAGAUAUGCUGAUCUUCAGUAUUUAGUUAAGUAUGUAUCUGUUCAUAGAGAUUUCACGGCUAAUGCUCACUUUAAAACAGAUUACACUAAGGAUAUUAUAUUACAACAGUGCCACACCUUGCUAAAUAUUUACUUCAAAAACCCAUGUUUCAAGCUCAUUUGCUUAAAGGAACACUAUAGGUACCCAGACCACUUCAUGUUAAUGAAGUGAUAUGGGUGCAAUGUCUCCCCCAUUCCCAUUUUAACUGCUGGAAAUGAUUUAUUUGCAGGGUUAACCUGACUCUAGUGGUUGUCAAUAUAACAGCCUUUAGAGGCGCUUCUGUGAAAUAGCAGAGUAAAACUAUUAGAACGACCAUCUGAUUUGCUGCACAUGCAUAAAUGCACUAAUGAGUCUUCCAAUGCUUUCCAAUGGGAAAUCUUGAUGAUCUCAGCCAAAGAGACGAAGCUCGAAGGACCCCAGUGCUGCGAGGGCUGAAAGCCCUGCAGCGCUGGCACUGUCCCCUUAACGGCGACUAAGGCACUAUAGUGUUAAGAUUACGUAUUUGUAUUCCCAAGGAUAUAGUGUUCCUUUAAGAACAAAAGCAGUGGACAAGCACAGAUGGAUGUCCCCCCAUUAAUAUCAACCCACAGAGAGUGUAUCAGUAUUCAGUAUGAGACUUCAUUGAUUUCAAAUAAUGUAGUUUAAAGUUUCCUUGCACAGGUAUUCAGUCAUUGUGUUAUUAUUUUGUGAGAUUUCUUUGUUUAUGGUUGAGCUGAAAUAGAACACCAUAGAGUUCUGGAGAUUCCAAAAGGCUUAUAGUUCAUUGUACAUAAAAGUGCUUACAGCUAUUUAUGUUAAAGGUUGUAAGGGCUAUUGUUCACUGUCUGGCAGGGAAGAUUCCAAAUGUUCUCCUAUGUAACUGUGAGACACUGUUCCUAAUUGGCAUUGGUGACCUGAAGAUGUUUUAUUUACAAAAAAGGGGUCAUUCUUUUGUUUGCCUGUUACUGUGAGCAGUAUGACUUUCAACAUGCACGUGGAAACCCUUUACCAUCAUCAUUGCACCCUGUUAGUAGUCUGGUACCCAAUCUGAACUUAGAAAACAUAGUCAAUCUGUCCUGUGGGUGCAUCAUUACAGACACGUAACUAAUAUUAUGCAGACACGAUAAAGUAUUAUAAAAGGAUGCCAAUUGUUGUGGCUCUAUGCCUCCUGUUGUCCUUGCUAUUACCAUGAUUCAUAUAGUUAGUAUAGGAAUCAGUACCCAUGAUGCAAUGCAGGCCCAGGCAAUAAGGAAUUGUACGUCUUGCUAAAUCAUUGAUCAGUGACACAUAUAGUGACUAAUCCAAAACAAUGUUAGAACUUACAUUUAAAUAAUUUUUUCAUGGCUGCUUGAGUUUUGUAAUCUGUUGCCCAUAUAAUAUGUGCAUUGUGUAGGAAAAAAAGAAAACAAGCAAAAAAAAACCAGUAAUACUUGUUCUGACUGGCAUAUCUAAUAAAAAAGUUUGUAUUAAACCUUUAAGUUAGUUUACAUAAACUGGGUUCUUUUAUUCAGAGAAAUAUUUAGCUAGUUAGCAUACAUUUGGAGCAAAUACAGUAAAAUACAGCUGUAAAAUGUGGCCUUGGGUGCAUUAUAUUCUGGUUUGUUUUGCUCAAAUGAGGUCACAGAGACAUUAAGAAGGAUAAUCUUAGGUGGACUAGGAUUAUGGUUUUUGUUGGGCAUUUUACGAUGUCGCCAUUGAGAUUGUCACACGCAUAAAAUACCUUAAAAGGAUUAGUUGCUUGUUUAGUGACCGUUUGAUUGGAAGAAUUUGUAAAAGCAUAGCUGUGACUUUACCGUUAGUAAACACUACACAUUUAACACUUCUUUUCAAUGUCGUCCUGUGAUGAAAUCAUUGAACUCUGGAAUAAGAACUCAAGAUUUUCAUUAGAUAUCACAGAAACAGAACCCAAGUUAUUGAUGCUCUUUCUAUGCGCUAUGCCACUAUGCCACAAAUUGAAUUAAAGGAGACCCCCUCUAAUAGAACAACAUGUUCCAUAAAUAAUAAACUGGAGAAGUCCGUUAGGUGUUGGCUAGUUACUUGUAUGCCAUAUUUAUGAGUUCGUGAGAGCUUCAGUACUUUUUAGCCUUUCUCCUUACACUGCUUCAACCGAAUAAUCAAGAACAUAUUGUUAAAAACUAAACUCGUAAACAUAUAUUAAAGUAACACACUGGUGGUGGAAUAAAUACAUUUAUUUAUAACGCCAGAGUGUUCCAUUCUGGUUUGCGUUUCUGGGCUCCCUGUUCCUAUGUAAAAAAAAAAAAAAACAAUUACUCCUAACCCAGCUUGAGAAGGCCUGUCUCCUUGUUGCAUCUCAAUUCUGCUCCACAACAUAAUCAGUACUGAUGAUCUCCCAGACAGUCCAAGGCUUCUUAUAGAAUAGCAUUAGUAGGCAGGGCCCAUAAUUUUGCGAUUCGCUGUUAGUGCUUCUGAUAGAGAACAUUGAAUCCAAUGUUUUUUCAAAUUAGAAGCCUGACAUUCCCUUUAGGCAAGUGCUCAGUAUGUUGAAGAGCGCCCUCGCAGUUGUCUGACAUCUGAGGGUACCACCUACAACUUAUCUUGAAUUUGGCAGUUUUAUAAAUAAGAUAGAUGGGGCUCUGUCAAUCAACAAAGUACGUCAUCAUAGGGGUAUGGAGUUUUCCUUUAAGCAAGUAGUGUUUUUUUAUUUGUUAGAAAAUUAUGUCUAUGAGCCUUAAGGGAUUCAAACAUUUGCUUCUAAUCAAAUAAAGAAAAUACUGAAAUCAUGACAAUAUUCUAGUUGCCAAACUAUUUUAUAACUAGUAGUAGUGGAAUAUUGAACCACAAGUGACAUAUAUGUGAUGCAGUUUUCCCCCUUAACCCCUAUAAGGACCAAACUUCUGGAAUAAAAGGGAAUCAUGACAUGUCACACAUGUCAUGUGUCCUUAAGGGGUUAAACCCCCUUCUUACUUAUCCAUUCUCACUCUUUCACAUUCUCUCCUUUUCUUUUUUAAUCCUCAUUUUGUGUUUUUUUCCUCCCUCUGUUUUUAUUUUAAGCACUGCCCCUUUAAUUGGGGAUGACGUAAGCCGUAAUUAAGUUUUUCUGUGGCUUGAAAAGGAAAUGAGGUAGUGAUAUUUGCUUUGAAGUUACCAUGCCAUGGAUUAGUAUAAAGAACACUUAUCAUAAGAACAAGUAUCGCUUUAAAAUAUUCUCGCUUCUUUCUCUAACAAAAUAAAAACACACCCAAAAUACUAGAACUUCUUGUAAUAUAUCCUUUAGCAAGAUCGUUAUGAAAUGUUAUAGCUAGUAAAUGUAUUUAUUUCAACAGUGUUGAGCUGUUUAGCACUUGAAAUAAGUUGUAUUUGUUUUGUUUACUUUAUGCUCCCGUUUUGUAUUUGUUGCUAACCAUAUGGCUAAUGUACGCGUCCUGCUUCGUCCCAUAUAAUUACUACUGUUGGAUAAAGGUCAGCAAGUAAGAUUGCGACUCAUAUACCAAAUGUAUGAAUACAUACUAGACUCAUCGUGUUUAUUAUUUUAUUAAAUCAUAUCUGUUAAAAAUAUAUUUGGAUUUACUAUAAAGCAAUAUUUUUCCCGACACAUGUUUGAAUAAAUAAAAUGGCAAUAUCUUCAAGAUACAGUUCCUAAUUUGUUCUAAGGGCAGUCAUUAAAAUUACCUUAGGAUCCCGUCCUCUACACAGUAAUGCAAAAUCUCAGUUUACCUAAACUACUUUACUUUGGUACAUACAUCAGUUCCUUGGUUUAUAAUGUGGUUAAAGGACCACUAUAGUGCCAGGAAAACAUACUUGUUUUCCUGGCACUAUAGUGUCCUGAGGGCUCCCCCCACCCUCAGGGUUCCCCUCCCGCCCGGCUCUGGGGAGAGGAAAGGGGUUAAAACUUACCUUUCUCCAGCGCCGGGCGGGGAGCUCUCUGCCUCCGAUCCUCCUCCUCUCCUCUCUUUCGGCUGAAUGCGCACGCACGGUAAUAGCUGCGUGCACAUUCAGCCGGUCUCAUAGGAAAGCAUUUACAAUUACGAUUUUCACAGUGAGAAUCACGCAAGCGCCUCUAGCGGCUGUCAAUGAGACAGCCACUAGAGGAUUUGAGGGCUGGAUUAACCCAUUUAUAAACAUAGCAGUUUCUCUGAAACUGCUAUGUUUAUAAAAAAAUGGGUUAACCCUAGCUGGACCUGGUACCCAGACCACUUCAUUAAGCUGAAGUGGUCUGGGUGCCUAGAGUGGUCCUUUAAGUGGACACCAUGGACAGUUUAGUCCAAGCGCACACAUAAAAAGCCAAUCGUUCUGUUACUUUUUUUUCUUUUAAGAAACCCUGAGAACCACACUAAUACUGGGCUGCAUAACUCAUGAUUAGAUCAUAUCUUUAGUCAUCUACUACUAGUCCACCGAAAUAGUUGAUGCAAAAAUAGUCCAGUUUUCUCAGCAAAACUGCUGAAUUAAGCAGUGAUGGAACUGCUCCAAAAUGUUCCUUUUAGACCCAUACUGCAUGGGAAACGACAGGCUCUUUCUUUCUCUUUUUUUAGGUGCCUCCUGAUGGCAUUUCAUCUCUUAAAAAAGAACAUUUAUAGUCCUUUUCAGUCAGUCAGUCAGUCAGCCAGGUUACAGGAAAUAAAUUAGAAACCACCCUAUUUCAUGUCCUAAUUGAUUUUGUCAUGGCAUCUGACAAGGUCGAUUAUUCCAAUCCAGCCCAUUUGUAAAUUAACUCUACAUUUGACACCAUUGACAGAUUUUAAUACUGCAUUUUAACACCAACACAAGCUCUUUGGUACAGUUAUUAAUUAGUGAAAAUCACUCCUGUUAUCAGAUCAGAGAUUGCCAUCUAAAAUAUCCUUAAUUUCUUCAAAACUGUUAACUUGCAUAGUGCACAUUUUGUAUUAUUUUAAAUAUAUAUGUUAACCACUACAGAAUAUCCAUCUUGCUGCUAUGCAGAUUAUAUAUAUCUAUUUAAUUCUCUUUCACUAGGAACUGUGGAUCUUGGGAACAUAUGCAUACCUCAUGCUGUCUGGAGUCCGUCACUAGUGGGGCCCCUAAAAUGGGCCAGUCCACAGGAAAGUAAGCAAAUCCACCCACUGAAGGGGUGUGUGAGCCUCGCUUGAUGUCAAGCUCGCCAGGCUCACCUCCUGAUGACCAGCCUUGCUUGAUGUCAAGCUCACCAGGCUCACCUCCUGAUGACCAGCCCCCUUCAUACACGAUCAAGAGUAAAGCAUUUCUAAAGCGCUCUGUGCGUGGUCCUAAUGCCCACAGCAUUGAAUGAUGUGCUGCCUGGGGCCAGUUCCCUGGUGUACCAAAAUGUGGGACACCAGGGAACUAAAACAAGACAGGACCCCGAGAUUGGGACUAUCCCGACGAGAUAGUCCCAAUCUCGGGGGACUGACCCUAAAACUGUGCCUGACCCUAAAACUACAAGAGAACAGGUUUUCUUUUUUAUGCUGCAUUUGGCAGAGCCAGCUUUAACAUCUGUGUGACAUUAGGAGGGCCGGAGCUAGAAACAACCAUGUAACAUCACGUCGUCCAGUAGUUCGAAUGUGACUACAAACCCUUAUUCCUAACGCCAUACUGUCCUAGUGGCCGAUUAGGUUUAGACUUGAUAAAGAGCUAUUUUAGUUGAAACUCUUCCCUUUCUUGUCCAAUAAAGUCUACUUUGGAUUGACCAUUAAGUGCCCAGACUUUUCUGUUUGUUCUUAUAGUUUAUGUCCACAGACAAAGGAGAAAUUAAACUGUGUUUACUUCUUAUGCUAGAUUGUGAUGUCAUUUGUUAAUCUUUAAUAUAUAUUUAAAACAAAACAGAGCAUCAUAUGAGAGUAAGUUGAAAGGGACACUAUAAUUGCCAAAACUGCUCAAUUCCCUGCCAUUAGGAGUUAAAUAACGAUUAUUUCUGUUUAUGUAGCCCUAGCCAUACUUCCCCUUGCUGUGCAUGAAAAAAAGUUUAAUUUUCUAUCAGAUGCUAACUUGCUUAAGAAGUUUUUACCUCCUGCUCUGUAAAUUGAACUUUAUGCACACACAGGGGGCCCCUGCAAAGUAUAGCAGUCAAUCAACAGUGCAGGCCAUAAUACAUUCUAAAUUUAACAUACAGUGCAAUAAAGGUUUGAACAUUAGAUUUCUCUUUACAGGAAGUGUUUAGGAAGGCUGUGCAAGUCACAUGCAGGGAGGUGUGACUAAGGUGCAUAAACAAAGUGAUUUAAUUCCUAAAUGGCAGAGAAUUGAGUAGUGAAACUCUAAGGCCAUGAUCUAUACACCAAAACAGCUUAAUUAAACUAAAGUUGUUUUGGUGACUAGAGUGUUUUAAACUCAAAUUGUAGGUAUUUUUGAAGGUUUUAUUUAGUGGGAUAAUUUCUCGAGAAAUUACAGUUUCCCUUUAAUGGACUAGUUGAUCAGAACAUAGCAGCAAUCACUGCUAAUUUCAACAACAUAGCUGCAGUGUAGUAUCCAUGGGAUCGAAUAGAAGUUAUCAACCUCUGUCAACCAGUACUUUGGUUUAAGUAUCUGUACUCUUAAUUUCGCACUUGGUAUGACACACAUGUCCAUUGAGUAGCAAGAGUUAUGUUCUAGUAUAAGUAUAACCUGCAACAAAACUGACUAAUCCUGCCAAACAACCCUAGCAUUAUCCCUAAGUAACCUCACCUUAAAUGGUAAAGGUGUUUUAACCUGUUUACAUGUACUGUCACUUAUAUGAAAAUUACACCAUUGGAUAAAAAAAUGGAAAUUACCUAUAACUUACCUAUGUUUUUUCUUAUAAAACUGUUUUCUUCUAAGUGUUAUAUCAAGACACAAUUGACAUUACAAAAAAGCUCAGUCCUUGCACGGCCAGGUGGCUCAUUGCUUUAAUAGUGUUUCUCCAAGGACAAUAACUACUUCAGUGAUUUGAACUGGUCAUACUGUCUGAAGUCUGUAUGUGCAGUAUUUUGCUUUGAAACACUGCACUUGCAGAUAUUAACUCCUCUGCUACUGAAUGUGUAACUCCGCCUCCGGUGGGUCACAGGAGUGUCAUCAACCAGCCCAGAACUAAAAUUCCAGUCUGUUUAAUAUAAUUUCUGUGCAACUUUCGUUGCUCAUAAUUAAUUGGCUGAGAGCGCUCUGCUGAUAGUCUCAGCCAAUGAAUGCAGACUGGCACUCUUUAGGAGCGGAAAGCAUGUCACCAAGCCACCAGGGAGUAUUGGAGCCUGGUGAGACAAAGGUAAGGAGGCAUACCGUUACUAAACAGUUUGCCCUGUUACCAGGGAACUUGGGUCAGGGUACUCCUAGUAUCAUAACCACUACAGCGGACUGUACGGUGGAUGUAUACACAUCAAUGCAUCUCUAUGGGGAACGUUCAGCACCUCCAUGCCGAGCGUGGAGACGCUGAAUGUAGGUGCUGCAAACUGUGGAAACUAGGAAUCAAUAUAAACACUGCAUUUUCUCUGAAAAGUCUGCAGGGACAGGCUAUAGACACUAGAACCACUACAUUAAGCUGUAUUUUGAUGUUGAAUAUAAAGCUUUGUAAGUUGAAAAAAAAAACUGGCUCCUAACUUUUUUAGCUGUCUCCUAAAUUCAAAGCAAAUUUGUAAAGCCCUGCUCUAGACACUUUACUGUAAAAAGAAAAGAUGAUGCAAAUAACUAAGCAGGUUAUAACUGAGUAUAUAUGGAUAUUGGGUAGCAGUUAGCGUGAGUUACAGAAGUGAACUUAAAGGGGCAUUUAAAUGUUAAAAUUUUAUAUAUUUAUUUUUAAUGCUGGAGGGUUUCUUUUUUAAUUUAGCUUUAGAACCCCUUGUUUUUAUUAGAUUAUUUUUAAAUUCUUGGUAAAAGUAAAUUUCCUUAUAAUCCAUCACCGAUACUAUCUCCAUGUUGUAGCUUCAAUAUCUUAUUGAUUGAAUUGAUGAUCUCUCGGCUAAUCCACAGCUAGUCAUAGAGAAGCUUUGGGGUCUUACAGUGGAUGUACUGCAAUCUCCUACAUCCACCUGAAUAGUGGUUCUCAUAUAGAAGAUUUGAAACCAGGGCUUCCCUAUGGGAAGCGCUCACUACUGAUUUGAUCACUUUCAGAGCUAUUACUGAUACCAUUUCUCGGGAAAUUUGAAUUUUUAUAAAAUAGAACAGAAGGGACCUUUAAUUAACCCCUAAAGCAUUUCAGCAAGCCAAAAUGCAUUAGUAGACUUGAGCACAUCUUUAACCGAGCAGUUGUUGACCAAUUCUAGAUAGAAUUUCUCAAAUAACAGUCUUGAGUUUUAAAACUAACUUUUUCGGAAUCUAUUAGCAGAACAAACCACCAGAGUCUUGUAAGAGACAUUACGUGAUAUUAUAUUUACUCAGUGUUGUUUACAUCUCUAGUGCCUUCUCUGAUUGGCCGGAUUCUCCUCACCAUGUUUAUUUCCUGCCCUCUGCCAGCCUUUAAUUGGCUGCCCGUCUUUUACCUGCUUUUUAUGAGAAUAUUUGUUUGUGCCUUUUUUUAAUGGCAAUCUCCAACACAGUGGGAAGAUUUGUGACACCUUUGGUGUCUUUCACAAGAUUUGACAGACAGUAGUUGGUAGAAAGGGGGGAGGUCUGUUUCUCUGCUGGGUUUCGCUUAAGAACAUUGAAUACAGUUUUAUAACUGAAGCCCCUUUUUACACUGCUGCUUACAUGAAUUCUGUUGUAAUUAAUGUGUUUAUCCAAUAGGACAAAUAAACAUGGUUAGUAACAUAGUAAUAAGAUAGCAGUUAUUUUUUAUUUUUUUUAUUUUGUGGGGGUGGGCAGGAAAAAUAUAAUUCUUCAAAGCCCCCAUUAAAAAUUAGUCUCAGAAAAGAAGCUGUAGCAAAAUGUUUGUCUUCAUGGCUUUUGCGGUUUGUCACAAUUAUAGUCAUGCACAUAUUCAAUUAAAGCAUUUAUUUUUGUUAAAUAUUCCACUUUGGGUUAACACAAUGCAGUGUUUCAAUGUCUUUGUUAAGCAACACAAUAUCCCUAUUUUGUUUCUGUUAUAGGCAACAGUCCAGGGUUUGUAAAACCAUGAUCCCUUGUAUUGUACAGGGAUCACUCACUACCUACCACUUACCAUGUGAAUUGUCUGAUCCACUCGCAUUUUGAUUAAUCCUGGCCCAGUACUCUAUUGUAGGAUUUUUGGCCUCUUUCUAAGAACUGCCUAGUUUGAGGUAAGGACUCUAUUGAUAGACAUUCCCUGCUGGCAUUAUUUAGUUUCACAAACUUUUUGCCACCAUUGUCUUCAUAGCUUAAAUUGGGUUGCAAAUUAACUGUAGGAUUUAGAAGUGAAACUUACAUUAUCAAUAACGAAUCCAACAUCUUUCAGUGCCCAGUAAAUAAUUACUUUCAUAUCUGUCUAGCUAUCUAAUACGUAUAUUAUAUUUAUAUCACCAAGAGCAAUAUUUUUAACAAGUAGGAAAAAUCAAGAUUGUUCAAACUCUGGCACUCACUAGCUUAUUGGGGAGAUUGUUUCAAAAGAUUUGUACUAUUACCUCUUAAAAACUGUACAGUGAAGGUUUAAACAUGGAUUAUUAUAAACAAUAUAUCAAUUAUAUUGAAGGUAAAAAAAUUCUCUCAUCGUAUAAUAUUGAAUAUGCUUUUCCUAUACUACUUCUAAUGCAUGCUGCUGAACUGUGAUUGUGCUCUGAAAAGGAUUUUUGUUUCUGCAAUGAGGCAGCAUUGCUAAGGAGGCAGGGUUAUGGUGCAACUUUUUGUAAAACAUUUUGUAACAGAUGAAGACAUUUGUACUAUUCCAUAUUUUUAAUAUAACAGAGGUUUCCAAGGAUUGAAAAUUAUAUGCUGAUUACGACCUAGAUAAAUGCCACUGGAAACAAAAAAUAAGUAGAUAUGUUCCAAAUUAGACUGGUAUUCACCCAGUUCUGCAAACCACUGGUUGCCAUUAACACCUGCUUUUUAAAAUCUGUCUGAUCCAUACGAAGCUCCAUUUAAUCUGGUGGUUUAUACAAAAUGCAGCACACAGGGAGAAACUUGCUGAUUUGCAAUCAUCAGCCCAGAGCUAGCUUCUGAAUUCCCUAAUCAGUGCUUAACUUGGAGCUUUGAAGUGUGGGAGAGUGCAGUGAGUCUGUUCUCUGACAGAUUGCUGACCCACCUUUUGCUUUGAGUCAUUUUGUAUAUGGGGAUUAGAUUUCUAAAGCCAAGGUAAUGUAAAUCCUGUGUUUAAAGUCAUGUAACUUUUUAAACCUGGAGAUCAAAUCAGUCUUUGUGAUGUCUACGUGUCCAUAUUUACACGUCUCUUAAACCUUAUGUGUUCUUUUCUUUUUGAAACUAGGGAUUGUCUGCUCUGUCUGUUUGAAUACUAGAUUAAUUAUAUUAAUAUCCGAUUAUGGUUGUAUAUUCUAUUUUAGAUCAGAAUCGCCUGGCAGCAGCUGAUUUAUUUCUCUGCAGUGUUCUUUCCAGUUGCCCUGUGGGUAACUUGCUGUCAGGAAUGCAAGACCUAUCCGUGAGAAAAAGUACAGUCAGCUACUGUCUAGUAACUUGUACUUUUUAGGGAGGAAUUAUCUGUAUAUUUUUUUAAUUCACCUUUGGUAAAAUCUGACUACGCUAUGUGGUAUGUUUCUCUGAACUGUCUCCAACCUGUGCUAUUGUAAACACUACCUUUGUCUUCUGCAGGUUAGCAGUAUGCUCAGGAUACUCAGCUGGGGCAAAGUUUCAC